Magallana angulata is the source of this 1999-nucleotide long non-coding RNA. RefSeq lists it as uncharacterized. The transcript is spliced from 4 exons. The record is from RefSeq and is a predicted model, not a curated record. NCBI's taxonomy places the organism in Eukaryota, Metazoa, Mollusca, Bivalvia, Ostreida, Ostreidae.
GUACAGUACAUGUAUAUUCAGUGAUAACUGCACGGGACUGCAUGUACUUAUUUUUAUCUUAGCUAAUCAUUGUUCAUGUAAAAAUCAGAAAGUUUAUGUAUAUAUAAUUGUCAACCAUGACAAGUUUAGUACCUACUUCAAAGUUCCUACUUUUGAAACAGUUUAUAAGUUUUAUAAGUUUAUACUGUAUUUUUGAAAUUAUUUGGUUUUUGUACAUUUACUUUACGGAGAAGAAAGGGAUGUUGUAGCUAUAGGAAAUAGGUGACUGUAAUGCAAUAAUAUCCUGAGGCGCAUGGUGUUUAUUCAUAUUAAUCACAUUGAACUGUAAAAACAUCUGACUGAUGUAUAUGUUAGAUCAAAUCAGCUUUAUUCGAGCAACAUCUUAUACUGAUAUAUAAACAUGUAUGUAUGAUGUAUUUCACAAAUAAAUCCAGGGGUUUUUUCAGAGCUGAGUUAUAUUCUAAUCAAGUUUCUGUAUAUGCCUUGGCAAUCCUUAUUAAUGUACAGUUUCAGUUUCAGAAUUGUCUUUGGGUUCAGGAAUAACUGCCUCAUUAACGAGAAUGCAACCACUUGUUUCAAGUGACUACAGAAGACCCAGUCCCCACCUACGGUGUAGAUCCGCGGAUGUAGAACAAACGUGAGGAUGGAAAUUUCAAGAGCAGAGGCAUCUUCCCCAAGAAAACUUAGACUUGUACACCGGUGUAACAAAAAAAGGCCUGGCAAAGAAAACCCUUUCUUGGACACCCACUUGUUUGGAAAAACUGGAUCCACGCCUUCACUGACAUUCUUAGAAGAUGCCGCUAAUUUAUAAACUGUUGCACACUUUACAUAUGUCACUUUAAACAUGUGAUGUAUGGAUGGUAUAGUAACAACAAAGCCCAGACAAGUGUAUUCCCAGAAUGCCAACAGAACGCAAUUUUACAAUCCUUUUACGACAGUUCUCGGUCCGGAAAGACUUCGAAAAGAAAUAAAAUGAAGCGCCUUGUUACUUGUCCGUAAACGGUUCCCAUUUCUAUAGGAGCUGUUUCCACUGGAAUCCCGGGAGAGCAUUUUCCAUUGGUUAUUUUUUCAGCGCAACCAAAACAGAAGCACCAUUGAGUGGAUUACCUUCUUGCCCUUUAUUGACAAAGUCAUUACAUGAUUGAUCACGGAGGCUUUCCCUGGGGAUCAGGAAAAUGAGAAAUAUUGUGCAUUUUUAUUCCAAAUUCAAUUGUUGAGAGCGGCGAAGCAGAUUAUUGUAAUGAGAUUUUAUAUUAAUGCCGGGCUUCAUAUUCUUUCUCAUUCUUUGUUGUGACUAAACCCAGAAGAUGACAUUUCAGCUAUUUGUUGCAUAAAUCAUAUAAUGCAUUACGUAAUUGUUGCAAAUUGCUAUUCUUUUAAUGGGGAGAUAUUUUGUAUAAUGUCAUGGGCUUUUUUAUCCCCUAUAAUAUGCUAUAAUGCAUUAUUGCACUUUUGGUAUUAUAUGUAUGAAUUUUAGAUUACAUUUGAUUGCAGUGGUUUGUACAUCAAAUCUGAGAUAAUAUGUGUAUUUGUGCCUGUUCUCGUCCCAGACACUUAAAUAAGUAUAUAUAAAGAGGAAUUGACAAUGGACAAUUUAUCAGGUCUUUUUACAAGUUCUUUUCAAUGCCCGUCAUAAAAACAAAAAUUUGUCUGGGAAAUACAAAGAAACCUCUGUCAAAAAUAGGGAGACAGCAUAUUCUCCAUAAUCUUGAUUAAUGAUAUUUUCCCACGACAGUGAAUUAGCUUGUAAGUGUCUCCUCCUUGAAAUGCUUUUUACCCAACUUUAUUGUUGUAGGAAUUGUAAAAUAGUUAAAGGUAGAGUAAUAUUGAUUAUUAUAAUGAUAUUUGAUUUGAAUUUUUAAAAUUCUUAUAAACCGCCAAUAUAAAAUUAACCUUAUGAAAAGUCUUAUAGCAUGAAGCAAAUAAAACGUUUUAUUACAUGCUGUUGGUCCAGUAAUUUUUGCAUUACAAUUAUGACAUUAAAGACAUGUGCAAUGCU